This is a long non-coding RNA of Rosa rugosa (rugosa rose), 1018 nucleotides long. RefSeq lists it as uncharacterized. The record is from RefSeq and is a predicted model, not a curated record. The transcript has 4 exons. Lineage: Eukaryota; Viridiplantae; Streptophyta; Magnoliopsida; Rosales; Rosaceae.
GCCUGUUACUGUUCAUUGCUUGGUCAAAUUUUUGAACUUCCCAAAUUGCCCAUGUUGUGGGUGAGGUGGCAGACAACAAGGAGGGUUAGGAACGUAAAUGCAGAAAGAAUGGUGAGGUGGAAGAUCAUGGAGAGAGCAAGAGAAGAGACGGACGCCUGGCUUCUGCCGACACCGAGAAAAAAUGAGAGAGAAGAGAACAAGGAAGAAAGCAAGAAAACAGAAGAAAAGAAGAAGAAGAGGGAGACGGGAAGUCAGCACAGGUGCAUGAUGGUCGAUUUGAACAGAAAUCGAGUAAACUGAUCAUCCCAGAAGCUUUCACCUUUGUGUAGAACGGCAACAAGAUGGAGCUAUUAGGACAAAAGUAAGCUCUUGGUUAGAUGAUACCCACAAUUGUGCAUUCGACCAACUGCGAGUUGUCAAAGUAAGCGACAUUUCCGGCAUGAAAGCUGAACUAGCACUCAUCAGAAACAACGAUGCAGACAUUCAAGAUUAUGACAUGAAAGUCAGUUGGUAAUAUACUAUGUUAAUUAGGGUACUGCUAUCACAAAGAAUUGAAUUUUGCUUCCUCAUCUCCUAUAAUUUUAAAGCAUCUGUUUGAGCUGCUUAGUGCAGUGUUAUUUCUUUGUUAUUGACAGGUUAUGUCUUCUGUGGAGUUGGUCCAAUAGCUAUCUCUGCAGCAUAGAUUGUAGGACGAGUUUAUGCUGCUAAAUAUCUGCAAGGAAAUAGUGGUCUCAACAACCUCGAUAGGAAGAUUAAGUGCUUCUACUCCUGCUGAAUUGUACAUGCAAGAUUAUCUUCCCUGUCAGUGCUUCUACUCCUGCUGAAUUGUAAAUGAAAGAAUAUCUCCAUUUGUAAUGAAAGAUCAGUUUGUGUUUUCACUUCCAUUUGUAAUAUCUUCUGUAUAUACAAUAAAAUCCUUUUUCAUUUACAAGAUUUGUUACAAUAUAAAAUAAUCAUAAUAAAUCAAACAUAAAUUAAUCGCCGCACUUCCGCACGCGCGCAAGCGCGUGCAGGAAGG